AUUUUACGCUGGCGGCAUGCCUUACACAUGCAAGUCGAACGGCAGCACGGAGCUUGCUCUGGUGGCGAGUGGCGAACGGGUGAGUAAUAUAUCGGAACGUACCCUAGAGUGGGGGAUAACGUAGCGAAAGUUACGCUAAUACCGCAUACGAUCUAAGGAUGAAAGUGGGGGAUCGCAAGACCUCAUGCUCGUGGAGCGGCCGAUAUCUGAUUAGCUAGUUGGUAGGGUAAAAGCCUACCAAGGCAUCGAUCAGUAGCUGGUCUGAGAGGACGACCAGCCACACUGGAACUGAGACACGGUCCAGACUCCUACGGGAGGCAGCAGUGGGGAAUUUUGGACAAUGGGCGAAAGCCUGAUCCAGCAAUGCCGCGUGAGUGAAGAAGGCCUUCGGGUUGUAAAGCUCUUUUGUCAGGGAAGAAACGGUGAAAGCUAAUAUCUUUUGCUAAUGACGGUACCUGAAGAAUAAGCACCGGCUAACUUACGUGCCAGCAGCCGCGGUAAUACGUAGGGUGCAAGCGUUAAUCUGAAUUACUGGGCGUAAAGCGUGCGCAGGCGGUUUUGUAAGUCUGAUGUGAAAUCCCCGGGCUCAACCUGGGAAUUGGCUUGGAAACUGCAGGGCUGAAUCUGGCAAAAGGGGGUAGAAUUCCCCGUGUACCAAUGAAAUGCCUAAAUAUGUGGAGGGAACACCGAUGGGGGAAGGCAGCCCCCUUGGUUCAAGAUGACCGCUCAUGCACGAAAAGCGUGGGGGAGCAAACAGGAUUAGAUACCCUGGUAGUCCACGCCCUAAACGAUGUCUACUAGUUGUCGGGUCUUAAUUGACUUGGUAACGCAGUUAACGCGUGAAGUAGACCGCCUGGGGAGUACGGUCGCAAGAUUAAAACUCAAAGGAAUUGACGGGGACCCGCACAAGCGGUGGAUGAUGUGGAUUAAUUCGAUGCAACGCGAAAAACCUUACCUACCCUUGACAUGGCUGGAAUCCUUGAGAGAUCAGGGAGUGCUCGAAAGAGAACCAGUACACAGGUGCUGCAUGGCUGUCGUCAGCUCGUGUCGUGAGAUGUUGGGUUAAGUCCCGCAACGAGCGCAACCCUUGUCAUUAGUUGCUACGAAAGGGCACUCUAAUGAGACUGCCGGUGACAAACCGGAGGAAGGUGGGGAUGACGUCAAGUCCUCAUGGCCCUUAUGGGUAGGGCUUCACACGUCAUACAAUGGUACAUACAGAGCGCCGCCAACCCGCGAGGGGGAGCUAAUCGCAGAAAGUGUAUCGUAGUCCGGAUUGUAGUCUGCAACUCGACUGCAUGAAGUUGGAAUCGCUAGUAAUCGCGGAUCAACAGGUCGCGGUGAAUACGUUCCCGGGUCU
This 1357-nucleotide ribosomal RNA is filed under the name uncultured bacterium. Its description in RNAcentral is "bacterial SSU rRNA". It matches the Rfam family "Bacterial small subunit ribosomal RNA", at positions 28 to 1381 of the family's 1533-position model. The record is from RNAcentral.